UAGGGAAUCUUCCACAAUGGACGCAAGUCUGAUGGAGCAACGCCGCGUGAGUGAAGAAGGUUUUCGGAUCGUAAAGCUCUGUUGUUGGUGAAGAAGGAUAGAGGUAGUAACUGGCCUUUAUUUGACGGUAAUCAACCAGAAAGUCACGGCUAACUACGUGCCAGCAGUCGCGGUAAUACGUAGGUGGCAAGCGUUGUCCGGAUUUAUUGGGCGUAAAGCGAGCGCAGGCGGAAGAAUAAGUCUGAUGUGAAAGCCCUCGGCUUAACCGAGGAACUGCAUCGGAAACUGUUUUUCUUGAGUGCAGAAGAGGAGAGUGGAAUUCCAUGUGUAGCGGUGGAAUGCGUAGAUAUAUGGAAGAACACCAGUGGCGAAGGCGACUCUCUGGUCUGCAACUGACGCUGAGGCUCGAAAGCAUGGGUAGCGAACAGG
Molecule: ribosomal RNA, 429 nt
Filed under: Bacillota bacterium
Lineage: Bacteria; Bacillati; Bacillota
Description: Firmicutes bacterium partial 16S ribosomal RNA
Rfam family: Bacterial small subunit ribosomal RNA
Source: RNAcentral